This 448-nucleotide ribosomal RNA is filed under the name uncultured Alphaproteobacteria bacterium. RNAcentral describes it as "bacterial SSU rRNA". It matches the Rfam family "Bacterial small subunit ribosomal RNA", at positions 1077 to 1533 of the family's 1533-position model. Lineage: Bacteria; Pseudomonadati; Pseudomonadota; Alphaproteobacteria. The record is from RNAcentral.
UGGGUAGUCCGCACGAGCGCACCUCGCUAUCAGUUGCCAGCAUUUAGUUGGGUACUCUGAUGGAACUGCCGGUGAUAAGCCGGAGGAAGGUGGGGAUGACGUCAAGUCCUCAUGGCCCUUACGGGCUGGGCUACACACGUGCUACAAUGGCGGUGACAAUGGGUCGCGAACCUGCGAAGGUGAGCUAAUCCCUAAAAACCGUCUCAGUUCGGAUUGUACUCUGCAACUCGGGUGCAUGAAGUUGGAAUCGCUAGUAAUCGCGGAUCAGCGUGCCGCGGUGAAUACGUUCUCGGGCCUUGUACACACCGCCCGUCACACCAUGGGAGUUGGAUUUACCUUAAGCCGGUGCGCUAACUUUUGAGGCAGCCGACCACGGUAGGUUCAGCGACUGGGGUGAAGUCGUAACAAGGUAGCCGUAGGGGAACCUGCGGCUGGAUCACCUCCUUUC